This 28-nucleotide small RNA is filed under the name Bombyx mori (domestic silkworm). Its description in RNAcentral is "ovarian small RNA-30423". Lineage: Eukaryota; Metazoa; Arthropoda; Insecta; Lepidoptera; Bombycidae. The record is from RNAcentral.
UGAAACCGGAGCGAUUCCACGAUCGUGC